Molecule: long non-coding RNA, 1023 nt
Filed under: Marmota monax (woodchuck)
Lineage: Eukaryota; Metazoa; Chordata; Mammalia; Rodentia; Sciuridae
Source: RNAcentral
CGUGAAUUGUCAACUUGACUGGAUUAAGAGAUGAUGGUUAAAAGGGUUAUGGGUGUGUCGAGGAGGGUGUGUCUAGGAAUGAUUGGCAUGUGGGAUAGCCAACUAAAAUGGAGACCCUCCCUAAGCAUGGCAGCACUGACCAAUAGGAUGGUGGCUUGGAUGGAUUAAAAGUGGACAGAUCAAGGAGGACGCAACAGCAGCUGCAGGUGCAAGCUCCAUUCUUCCUGAAGGCUUCUUGAUUGCUGCUGCGACCCUCUGAGGACAUCCGCCUCUCGCUUCUUCAUCUUCCAGGGCAGAUCCUCCAGGAGCCUUUGGUCAGGGACUAGGGCAGCACCGUUGACCCCUCUCAUUCUGGGACUUCAGCCUCUUGGACUGCGCAGCUACGGGUUCUCCCAGCUCUCCGCUUGCAGACGGCCAGUGGGGACUGUCUACCCUGCGACAAGGGCCCAUCGCACACUGCAUGCCUUGUUCUUCAGACACCAGCACUUUCUCCACACCUGAGACGCAGAAGCUGGUCAUUGUCACCACACUCUGGGAGGCUCUGUCCACCGUACAGAGGCAGCCACAUUCACAUAGCAGGCGGGUGGCAGCGCCACAGGGGGCCCAUCGCUGCAGGAGGGGGCCAGCAGCUGGGAGAAUCCCCCACAAGGCCCAGCCGCUGAGUGGGCUUCUUCAAUGGGGGACCUUGGAAUUUGGGGAAGGUGGAGCAAAGACGCCCCCUCUGUGGUGGACAGCGCCCCCUGCUGCCGUGGAAACGCCCCUUAGGUGCCCACAGCCCCUCUAGGGCCACGUCUUCCUGGGUCCUGGGCAGGGCUGUGGGCUCCCUGCCUCCUCCUGCCAAGAGAAGUCUUUGGAAGGUGCUGGCUGCAGUCCCGUCCGGCCAUUCUCCGCAGCUGCUGCUCCUCCUGGACCCCUCCCCUCUGAGUCCCUCUGCACAUCUGUGCGUGCGUCACUUGGCUAAGGCAGUGACACAGCCUGGACACUUGUUGACUCUGAGUCCCCAUGAGCCUAUGUUUUUCUUUU